CCUCCGGGUGGCAGCAGUGGGGAAUAUUGCACAAUGGGGGAAACCCUGAUGCAGCGACGCCGCGUGAGUGAAGAAGUAAUUCGUUACGUAAAGCUCUAUCAGCAGGGAAGAAACACUGACCUUACGGUCAGCAGACGGUACCUGAGUAAGAAGCCCCGGCUAACUACGUGCCAGCAGCCGCGGUAAUACGUAGGGGGCAAGCGUUAUCCGGCUUUACUGGGUGUAAAGGGAGCGGAGACCGGGCGCCAAGGCUGGAGGGAAAUGCCGGAGCGUAACUGCGGACCUGCUUUGGAAACUGGCGAACUAGAGUGCGCGAGGAGUAUGCGGAAUGCCUAGUGUAGCGGUGAAAUGCGUAGAUAUUAGGAGGAACACCGGUGGCGAAGGCGGCUUACUGGACCGUAACUGACGUUGAGGCUCGAAAGCGUGGGGAGCAAACAGGAUUAGAUACCCCUGUAGUC
Molecule: ribosomal RNA, 458 nt
Filed under: uncultured bacterium
Lineage: Bacteria
Description: partial 16S ribosomal RNA
Rfam family: Bacterial small subunit ribosomal RNA
Source: RNAcentral